AUGAGACUCUGGGACGUCUGUCUUUGCAAACACCGACACGUGUAGGGCAGUAGAAUUCUGGCCCAUUUGUGAGGGGGGAGUCCUGUGGUAUGGGAGAAGAGGCAGAGGCUGACCCUGAAUCGGGUAUUACUGAACUGGGUGAACUUGGAUCAGUCACCCAACUGUUCUGAGCCUCAGCUCAGGCCUGUUUGAGGAUUAAAUGAAACAGUGGUUGUCAGUCACUGAGCUGGAAGAGAACAGGGCUCCAGGAGAGGCUGCCAUAAUUAUGGCUAAGAAAAGUAUCAGCAAUGGAAGCCACCCAAAUACCAAAGAUCAGAGUCUAGACCAGGUGGCUGGAGCCUGAGGCAGCAGAGGUGACUCAAAGCUUCAGGGAUUUCUUUAGCCACUCCACGUGAAAGAUCCACUCCUGCCAUCCUGGCCUCCUGCUCUGCCCUCAACACAGCAGGCACUCUCCAGCCUCAGGGCCUUUGCACCGGCUGCACCUCUGCCUGUAACACUCUUCACCCUGACAUCCACAUGGCUGGUUUUUUUACUUCCUUCAAGUCUUGGCUCAAAAGUCACCUUUUCUUUGAGGCCUUCCCUGGACACCCUAGGUAAACAUCUCAUUCUCCCUUCCUUGUCUUUCUUGGCCUCUCUCUAGCAAUAAUCAUCACCUGAUAAUUUAUUCACCUUGUUUUUUCUGUCUUCCCCACCAGAAUAAAAGUCCCCGGAAGGCAGGGACUUGUCUGUGUCAUUUGCCAGUGCCUGGUAUUCAAGAGGUGCUCAAUAAAUAUUUGUCGAAUGAAUAAAUAAUGAGGGCAACAAGAUAGCACUAAUAAGCUAACAGGAGGUCUCAGAGAGCUCAGUGUCCAUUUUUGCACACCACACAAAACCUGAUAUACUAAGGAUUGUGGAGGACCAGCCUGCAAGGUAAGCACCACACAGG
Molecule: non-coding RNA, 925 nt
Organism: Equus caballus (horse)
Lineage: Eukaryota; Metazoa; Chordata; Mammalia; Perissodactyla; Equidae
Source: RefSeq, a predicted model, not a curated record